GAUGAACGCUGGCGGCGUGCUUAACACAUGCAAGUCGAACGAGAAGUGAAGACGGAAACCUUCGGGCGGAAGGCUUUAUUUCGAGUGGCGGACGGGUGAGUAACGCGUGGGUAACCUGCCUCAUACAGGGGGAUAACAGUUGGAAACGACUGUUAAUACCGCAUAAGACCACAGCACCGCAUGGUGCGGGGGUAAAAACUCCGGUGGUAUGAGAUGGACCCGCGUUCGAUUAGCCAGUUGGCGGGGUAACGGCCCACCAAAGCGACGAUCGAUAGCCGAUCUGAGAGGAUGACCGGCCACAUUGGGACUGAGACACGGCCCAAACUCCUACGGGAGGCAGCAGUGGGGAAUAUUGCACAAUGGGGGAAACCCUGAUGCAGCCACGCCGCGUGAGUGAAGAAGUAUUUCGGUAUGUAAAGCUCUAUCAGCAGGGAAGAAAAUGACGGUACCUGAGUAAGAAGCCCCGGCUAACUACGUG
RNAcentral lists this ribosomal RNA (478 nucleotides) under uncultured bacterium. Its description in RNAcentral is "partial 16S ribosomal RNA". It matches the Rfam family "Bacterial small subunit ribosomal RNA", at positions 28 to 507 of the family's 1533-position model. The record is from RNAcentral.